UACGUAGGGGGCUAGCGUUGUCCGGAAUCAUUGGGCGUAAAGAGCGUGUAGGCGGUCCGGUAAGUCCGCUGUGAAAGUCGGGGCUCAACCCUCGAAUGCCGGUGGAUACUGUCGGGCUAGAGUGCGGAAGAGGCGAGUGGAAUUCCUGGUGUAGCGGUGAAAUGCGUAGAUAUUGGGAGGAACACCAGUGGCGAAGGCGGCUCACUGGACCGUACUGACGCUGAGGCGCGAAAGCGUGGGGAGCAAACAGG
RNAcentral lists this ribosomal RNA (251 nucleotides) under uncultured bacterium. Its description in RNAcentral is "partial 16S ribosomal RNA". It matches the Rfam family "Bacterial small subunit ribosomal RNA", at positions 524 to 776 of the family's 1533-position model. The record is from RNAcentral.